Molecule: ribosomal RNA, 119 nt
Filed under: Hucho hucho (huchen)
Lineage: Eukaryota; Metazoa; Chordata; Actinopteri; Salmoniformes; Salmonidae
Source: RNAcentral
ACUUACAGCCAUACCAUCCUGAAUACGCCCGAUCUCGUCUGAUCUUGGAAGCUAAGCAGGGUCUGGCCUGGUUAGUACUUGGAUGGGAGACCGCCUGGGAAUACCAGGUGCUGUAAGUG